Clupea harengus (Atlantic herring) is the source of this 939-nucleotide long non-coding RNA. The record is from Ensembl. NCBI's taxonomy places the organism in Eukaryota, Metazoa, Chordata, Actinopteri, Clupeiformes, Clupeidae.
GAGUUAGCAAUCGCAUUUCUUCUCAUGUCAAAUUACUCAACAUCCAAAUCGUUGAACUCAUUAAAUGUGUUAUCACUUACUCUGAUGCACAGGCAGGAAGGAAUCCCACCCUUAGUCAGUCUGACUCAUGAUUUGUGUCAACCACCCCCCUUUCCUCCUCCCUUACUGCAGUGCAGUCAACUGGUGGACUCCUUGGCCCAGAGGGCUUCGAUCAGAGCUCCGGUUGCAGGCCAGGCUCGGGCAGGCAGCGCCCCAGUCGGGAGGGCCCAGACUGGGGGACGACAGGAGAAACUUCCCCCACCUCGACCCACCAUCCUCACACUCACACGGCUGUCGAACAGGGAUAAGGGACCAGACAGAGGCUCCCUACAGAGAACAAUAACAUGGCGGCCGACCAGUGCAAAAGCUGUUAUACCCCCAGCAAAACCAGUGAAUGGCUGGAAGCCAGCGGAAAAUGACCUCAGGCGAAAGAAAAUCAAAACGUCUCAAUCAUGUUUUUUCUUAGAGGAUGGCAGCAUGGGUAAGAAGGUUUGUGGCAAUUAGCACACAUUGUUGUGUUGAUUUUCCUAUUUGUGUCCUUUAUUUUAUCGGUUUUGUUUUUUGACAAUAGGGAUGGUUUUCAAGGCAUACCCAAAAGCAAGAAGCAUUCGAAACGGGAUCACUACAGUGAAGCUACCAAAGCGGGAAGAGAUUUGCUCAACCAAACAGGUCUGGUGAUCUCCUCUGACUAAGUGCUCCUUCUCCCUCUCCCUCUUCCUCUCCCUCCUUCUCCCUCUCUCUCGCCCUCUCUGUCCUUCUCCCUCUCUCUCUCUCUCUCUCUCUCUCUCAUUACCUCGCUACCCCAUCACUAAACACAUGAGUUGGAGGGCCUUUAGAGCCACUGACAACAAGACUAAGAGGGUGCUCUCGCCCACUAAGACUGAACAGUUAGGGUUUUGC